GACGAACGCUGGCGGCGUGCCUAAUACAUGCAAGUAGAACGCUGAAGGAAGGAGCUUGCUCUUUCUGGAUGAGUUGCGAACGGGUGAGUAACGCGUAGGUAACCUGCCUGGUAGCGGGGGAUAACUAUUGGAAACGAUAGCUAAUACCGCAUAAAAUUGAUUAUUGCAUGAUAGUCAAGUAAAAGGUGCAACUGCACCACUACCAGAUGGACCUGCGUUGUAUUAGCUAGUUGGUGGGGUACCGGCUCACCAAGGCGACGCUACGUAGCCGACCUGAGUGGGUGGUCGGCCACACUGGGACGGAGACACGGCACAGAGUCCUACGGGAGGGAGCAGGAGGGAUACUUGGGCAAGGGGCGGAAGUCUGACCGAGCAACGCGGCGGGAGUGAGGAGGGAUUUCGGGUCGUAAAGGACGGUUGUAAGGGAAUAACGAGUGUGAGAGUGGAAAGUUCACACUGUGACGGUAUCUGACCAAAAAGGGACGGCUAACUACGUG
Molecule: ribosomal RNA, 497 nt
Filed under: uncultured bacterium
Lineage: Bacteria
Description: partial 16S ribosomal RNA
Rfam family: Bacterial small subunit ribosomal RNA
Source: RNAcentral